CCUACGGGGGGCACAGUGGGGAAUAUUGGACAAUGGGCGAAAGCCUGAUCCAGCCAUGCAGCGUGUGUGAAGAAGGCCUUUUGGUUGUAAAGCACUUUAAGCGAGGAGGAGGCUACUUAGAUUAAUACUCUAGGAUAGUGGACGUUACUCGCAGAAUAAGCACCGGCUAACUCUGUGCCAGCAGCCGCGGUAAUACAGAGGGUGCGAGCGUUAAUCGGAUUUACUGGGCGUAAAGCGUGCGUAGGCGGCUUCUUAAGUCGGAUGUGAAAUCCCUGAGCUUAACUUAGGAAUUGCAUUCGAUACUGGGAAGCUAGAGUAAGGGAGAGGAUGGUAGAAUUCCAGGUGUAGCGGUGAAAUGCGUAGAGAUCUGGAGGAAUACCGAUGGCGAAGGCAGCCAUCUGGCCUAAUACUGACGCUGAGGUACGAAAGCGCGGGGAGCAAACAGGAUUAGAUACCCUAGUAGUC
RNAcentral lists this ribosomal RNA (465 nucleotides) under uncultured Acinetobacter sp. RNAcentral's name for it is "bacterial SSU rRNA". It matches the Rfam family "Bacterial small subunit ribosomal RNA", at positions 338 to 795 of the family's 1533-position model. Lineage: Bacteria; Pseudomonadati; Pseudomonadota; Gammaproteobacteria; Moraxellales; Moraxellaceae. The record is from RNAcentral.